Molecule: long non-coding RNA, 2407 nt
Organism: Oncorhynchus gorbuscha (pink salmon)
Lineage: Eukaryota; Metazoa; Chordata; Actinopteri; Salmoniformes; Salmonidae
Exons: 4
Source: RefSeq, a predicted model, not a curated record
UGUUGGUUGCAAAGCACCAUACGUCAAAAGUGAUUUUAUGCUCUCAAGUGAUGAUUUAAAUGUACAAUUUAUAUCAAAUAGUUCGUAAAUGUUAUUCAAACAUCACACAUAAGAUGCAGGGGUUUUUGGAGAAUAUUUGUUGUGCAUUUUGUUGUAGAGAAUUCUCGCCAGUAUUAGCUAGCAACUUACUGUGUCUGGUGGGGGGGUUCAUAUAUUUUGUACAGUGCGUGAGUGCAGAGUUGGAUGGUGAGACGGGCAUUGCAUGACGUGCAAUUUUGUGUCGUUCUUAUCAGCAUUGCUGCUGUGGCCUGUUCCCUCUGAGGGGAUGAUUUGACAACCCUCAUAGAGAGAGAAUUCCCCUGGGUUCAGGCUCACUUCAAGAUAGGCCUGAGUCCUGUGUACAGGUUGAGUGUCGGCGGCGAGGGAGUGACUAACGUGCAGGCCCAGGGGGCAGUGACCCAGUACGCGUCCUGGUCAGCAGCAAUGGCUGCAGCCUUGUGGAGCUCCAGCCCAUCACGGGUAGCGACACUUCUGAAGAAUUUAAUCUGGUGUGGUUCCAAGUCAUCUGUUUCUGCAGUCACCCUGCACAUCCUAACUGAUAACAUCCCAACUAUAACAUGAUUGCAAAAAAAGAUUACACGGAACCUGCCUUCAUUUAGUGGGGGGAAAUUCGGGUGUUUUUACAGACUAAUAUUUUUGACUCAUUCAGUCAAAAGAGCAAAUCUUUCGACUCAUUUUGUUCAUUUGAGUCAGUAAUGCUCAGAACACAGGACGCUUACAGGAUAAUGAUGAACUGAAAAUUCAAAAUAGUAACGAUUCUACAAGCCCCCUCGUUCACCACAAGGGGCUUAUUGGAGCUUUCAUUUGUGAUUGUUUAAAACACCCUUUUACAAGUCUCAAUGUACAUUUGUUGAUUGCUAGACAUGCAAAUGCGAUGAUGUCUCUUUACAUUUGAAACGAGUCGUGGCCGCAACUCGACUAGAUUGCGAGCGUGUCUUGGGGGAACGCAUUUCUCGACUGCCUUGAGGGUAAUAAGCAUAAUAUUAUUUGCGAACUUCAGCAUCCCAAAUGAUUCAUUCAAGUUCGAGUUUGUUGAGCAGAGGCUGUGUAUGUUUUGGUUCUACAAAGCUGUGUAGAAAUUUUCGAGAAUAUAUGAUAUGCUGUCCGGAGCACGUUAACGGAGGAGUGCGUAUUAAUCCUGCUGUAGAAUUAAUUGCGGCUAGCAGUUCAAACGACUUAAAACGAACGAGUCAAAUAAGAAGAAUUGUAUCAUAACUCUCGAGUCAGUAAAAAGUCCUUCAAAAAGAACAGAUCGUUCUUUAGUCUUUGUUGUUGAGGGGUCUGCUACACACUAAUAGCUCACAUUAACCUAGGUCAUAGAAGACACGAUGCUCCUUUUAACAGUAGCACCAUUUUUGAACAACCUUGUGAACCAGCGUAGUAACCUGUUCAGUGUCUCUUGCCUCAUCCAUCCAUCUCCUGCUCAUAGGGGUGAGGAUCCACACCCCAGCAUACACUCUGGGGUGUCAUAUCCUUGGGGACCACAAAAACUUCCACCUUAGAAAUUGCUGGAUGGUUUGUUACCGAGCCUGGGAUUGAAACAAAGCAAGGCACGUCGCCUUCUUCCCUAACCUUGUACGCACGUCAGCUGACAGCUGCCAGUGAUAUCACUGUGUCCUGCCCCCUGCUGAAGUACUUCACCACCAGCACCCUGCGACGACUGCAGAUCCCCAUUCCAGAUAAGAGGAUGAAUGGUGGAGCGGCAUCACUUCAAGUGACCUUUGACCUAAUGGUUGUCCCAAGUUCCAAGAGCUAAGGCCUGACUGAAAUUCUUAAAAAGCCACACACACUCAUUCACAGUACAAAGGCACGUUUGGGGGGGAAAAAACAGACUUUCUUAUUUAGCCUCCAACACCACUAGAAUAUCAAUACAUACAGGAGAUCAUAAAUGCCAAUAAAAAUACAUGUAAAAAAAAAAAGUGAGCAGAGUUCCCAUUAAAUGUCUGUUGGUGUGUAAUCCACUCUGCUCUUGGCUCCUGUCCUGUCUGGAACCUGAGAGCUUAGAGGACAAGAGGCACAGGAGGGUCCCUGUGAGGGCUAACAUGUUAAAUGUGGUACAUUUCCAUAUACACACCCCUACGUAUUUAUUUGGACAGUGAAGCUAAAAUAUGUACAUUUGGCCCUAUACUCUAGCAUCUUGGAUGACAUCAAAUGUUAUGAGGCGACAGUACAGAAUGCCACUUUUAAUUUGAAGGUAUUUUCAUACGUGAUUACAAACUUGUAGAUGCAUUUGCAGUUUGGUUGUGUUUCGGAUUAUAUUUUGCCCAAUAGGAAUGGUGAAUAAUGUAUUGUCAUUUUGGAGUCACCUUUUAUUGUAAGUAAGAAUAAAAUAUGUUUGUUAACACUA